Molecule: non-coding RNA, 432 nt
Organism: Meleagris gallopavo (turkey)
Lineage: Eukaryota; Metazoa; Chordata; Aves; Galliformes; Phasianidae
Source: RefSeq, a predicted model, not a curated record
GUCUGACCCUUAUUUUUGUUUUUUUAGGAUUGUCUACCUCUGCAUCGAGCCAAAUUCCUAGACUGGUUGGUGCUGUCUCAUGGGAUCCCUGUGACUGACAAAGGAGAGCUUGUUGUGACUGCUCUGCAAUGACUACAGCAAGAUAUAGGCCUACCUGGGACUUGGUUCUUGACCCGUUAGUGUCCUGCAAGCUCUGCCUUGGUGAAUAUCCUGUGGAGCAGAUGACAACAAUAGCACAAUGCCAAUGCAUCUUCUGUACUCUGAAUUACCAACAAAAGAGACAGCUCCUUAUUGUUGCUGUUUGAAAAAGAAGCAGUGUGAACAGCUCAGAUUCUAAUACAUGUCAUACUCCAAAAAAUCCAAGUUGUCACAAAGAGCUUUCCCUUUGAUGUUCCAUGGGAAAAGAGAUGAAUACACAAGCAGGUAAACAGA